Molecule: ribosomal RNA, 253 nt
Filed under: uncultured bacterium
Lineage: Bacteria
Description: partial 16S ribosomal RNA
Rfam family: Bacterial small subunit ribosomal RNA
Source: RNAcentral
UACGUAGGGUGCAAGCGUUGUCCGGAAUUAUUGGGCGUAAAGAGCUCGUAGGCGGUUUGUCGCGUCUGCUGUGAAAACUCGGGGCUUAACUCCGGGCCUGCAGUGGGUACGGGCAGACUAGAGUGCGGUAGGGGAGACUGGAAUUCCUGGUGUAGCGGUGAAAUGCGCAGAUAUCAGGAGGAACACCGGUGGCGAAGGCGGGUCUCUGGGCCGUAACUGACGCUGAGGAGCGAAAGCGCGGGGAGCGAACAGG